This 464-nucleotide ribosomal RNA is filed under the name Vreelandella stevensii. Its description in RNAcentral is "partial 16S ribosomal RNA". It matches the Rfam family "Bacterial small subunit ribosomal RNA", at positions 338 to 794 of the family's 1533-position model. Lineage: Bacteria; Pseudomonadati; Pseudomonadota; Gammaproteobacteria; Oceanospirillales; Halomonadaceae. The record is from RNAcentral.
CCUACGGGUGGCUGCAGUGGGGAAUAUUGGACAAUGGGCGAAAGCCUGAUCCAGCCAUGCCGCGUGUGUGAAGAAGGCCUUCGGGUUGUAAAGCACUUUCAGUGGGGAAGAAAGCCUUGGGGCUAAUACCCUCGAGGAAGGACAUCACCCACAGAAGAAGCACCGGCUAACUCCGUGCCAGCAGCCGCGGUAAUACGGAGGGUGCGAGCGUUAAUCGGAAUUACUGGGCGUAAAGCGCGCGUAGGCGGUCUGAUAAGCCGGUUGUGAAAGCCCCGGGCUCAACCUGGGAACGACAGCCGGAACUGUCAGGCUAGAGUGCAGGAGAGGAAGGUAGAAUUCCCGGUGUAGCGGUGAAAUGCGUAGAGAUCGGGAGGAAUACCAGUGGCGAAGGCGGCCUUCUGGACUGACACUGACGCUGAGGUGCGAAAGCGUGGGUAGCAAACAGGAUUAGAUACCCUUGUAGU